GACGAACGCUGGCGGCGUGCUUAACACAUGCAAGUCGAACGAAGAGCGAUGGAAGCUUGCUUCUAUCAAUCUUAGUGGCGAACGGGUGAGUAACGCGUAAUCAGCCUGCCCUUCAGAGGGGGACAACAGUUGGAAACGACUGCUAAUACCGCAUACGACCUAAUCUCGGUAUCGAGGAUAGAUGAAAGGUGGCCUCUACAUGUAAGCCAUCAUUGAAGGAGGGGAUUGCGUCUGAUUAGUUAGUUGGAGUGGAAACGGCCCACCAAGGCGAUGAUCAGUAGCCGGACGGAUAGGAUGAGCAGCCACAUUGAGACUGAGACACGGCCCAGACUCCUACGGGAGGCAGCAAUGGGGAAUCUUCCGCAAUGGACGAAAGUCUGACGAAGCAACGCCGCGUGAGUGAUGACGGCCUUCGGGUUGUAAAGCUCUGUUAAUCGGGACGAAAGGCCUUCUUGCGAAUAGUGAGAAGGAUUGACGGUACCGGAAUAGAAAGCCACGGCUAACUACGUG
This 510-nucleotide ribosomal RNA is filed under the name uncultured bacterium. Its description in RNAcentral is "partial 16S ribosomal RNA". It matches the Rfam family "Bacterial small subunit ribosomal RNA", at positions 28 to 507 of the family's 1533-position model. The record is from RNAcentral.